GCGCGAGUUCAGGCAUUUACUCCUCCCUGUUUCGUGAAGUUCUGGCCCCAUCUCUUUGUGAUUACAGUUUCAGUUUCUUCCGUGGGCCCCAGGUCUCACAGCAUUCAGGAGGAAAGAGCUCAACGCGGAAUCACAUAGGCAAAGGCUCUGAUUAUUUUCCUUGCCAUAGAAGACAAAACC
This is a long non-coding RNA of Chlorocebus sabaeus (green monkey), 180 nucleotides long. RefSeq lists it as uncharacterized. The record is from RefSeq and is a predicted model, not a curated record. Lineage: Eukaryota; Metazoa; Chordata; Mammalia; Primates; Cercopithecidae.